GCAGAUAAGAAACGUACCUUCAUGGAGUUUGCAUGCGAGUAGCAGGGCACAGAUUUGAACAAAGCCACUAAUAAAGAUACAGCAUCAGAGAGGCCAAGAAAUACAGUGUAAACCUCAUUAUUAGGACAACUUCAGGAUGCAUCUAACAUUGACUCCCAGCGCAUCAGGCUUCUGAUUCUGUCAGCUGGACUCUAGCUCCAUUAACAGUCCCUGGAGGAUGAUCAUACUGAAUCAGGGGAAAGGAAAACUGGUAGCAGCUCCCAAAUGCACCUGCAAUAGCCAGCUACAAAGCAGCUAAGAGGGCAUGCUUUAGAUCGAAAUGGCUGAGUUUAAAUCCUGCCUCUACCACUCAAUUAUCAACUAGUUUUCCAACAGCUGGGUUUCAGUCUCCUCAUCCAUCCCUGGUAGUAAUAGCACUUAUGUGACAGGGUGUUAGAAUGCGACCUCGCCUGUAGUGAGCAUUCAUGAAGUGCCAGCUAUCAUCCUUAUUGCUGUUUUUGUUAUUAAUUACAUCCUUUGUGAAAUUUUCAUCACGGCUAAACUUGUGCCCCCACGCUCUGUCAAUUCUCAUUGAAUACAAACUUAAAACAAGUGCCAAAAGAUUUUACUAGCAAGAACACAAAGAUGAUAAAUGAAAACAAGGCUUAGGAAACACAUCCCAUUUUAAUCUUUUUGUGGAUUAAUUUUUAGUUAACCUUUUCUGGGGAUGGAAACUGGUGCUUAUAGCAAUAAAAGAAGAAACAGAAAAUAAUAAAUGCCCAC
RNAcentral lists this long non-coding RNA (762 nucleotides) under Homo sapiens (human). Its description in RNAcentral is "HSALNT0401954". Lineage: Eukaryota; Metazoa; Chordata; Mammalia; Primates; Hominidae. The record is from RNAcentral.